RNAcentral lists this long non-coding RNA (336 nucleotides) under Ovis aries (sheep). RNAcentral's name for it is "lncRNA (ENSOARG00000025581.1)". Lineage: Eukaryota; Metazoa; Chordata; Mammalia; Artiodactyla; Bovidae. The record is from RNAcentral.
UAGGAAGAAAAAAAUAAAACAUUUACACAAUUAAACUAACACAAGAUAUCUUACAUAACUGAGCCAUGCAUGUAACUGUGUGUUACAGAAGAGGAAGCAAUCACUGCUGGUCGAAAGAGAGGCAGAACUUGACAAGUGCCCAAGAUUAAGUAAAUGAAGAAAUGAAUGUGAGGCCAUCCCAGGUCAAUCUCUUGCCAACCUGCUGUUACCUGUUAAAGAUAAAUGCAAACAACUGCUGUGUUAUAACUAGUAGUCUGCAGACCUGGAGAGGACUUCAAAAGCAUACCAAGUACACUGAAAAAAUUCUUUAUGAAAAUAUUUCAUUUUUCAACUUAG